RNAcentral lists this non-coding RNA (21 nucleotides) under Caenorhabditis elegans. Lineage: Eukaryota; Metazoa; Nematoda; Chromadorea; Rhabditida; Rhabditidae. The record is from RNAcentral.
UGUAUCGCUGUUUUUUUCAAA